This 73-nucleotide non-coding RNA is filed under the name Streptococcus agalactiae A909. The record is from RNAcentral. Lineage: Bacteria; Bacillati; Bacillota; Bacilli; Lactobacillales; Streptococcaceae.
AAAGCUGUGUAAAAAAGAGAGAUGGACUUUAGUGCAAGCACCAUUCUUCCAUCUCCUAUUUUUACUUUGCUUU